AUUGAACGCUGGCGGCAUGCUUUACACAUGCAAGUCGAACGGCAGCGGGGAGGAGCUUGCUUCUCUGCCGGCGAGUGGCGAACGGGUGAGUAAUACAUCGGAACGUGUCGAGAAGAGGGGGAUAACCACCCGAAAGGGUGGCUAAUACCGCAUAAAUUCUGAGGAAGAAAGCUGGGGACCUAGGAAUAGGCCUAGCGCUUUUUGAGCGGCCGAUGUCGGAUUAGCUAGUUGGUGAGGUAAAGGCUCACCAAGGCGAAGAUCUGUAGCGGGUCUGAGAGGAUGAUCCGCCACACUGGGACUGAGGCACGGCCCAGACUCCUACGGGAGGCAGCAGUGGGGAAUUUUGGACAAUGGGGGCAACCCUGAUCCAGCCAUGCCGCGUGUAUGAAGAAGGCCUUAGGGUUGUAAAGUACUUUUGUUAGGGAAGAAAAGUCAGCUGUGAAUAUUGGCUGAUACUGACGGUACCUAAAGAAUAAGCACCGGCUAACUACGUG
Molecule: ribosomal RNA, 494 nt
Filed under: uncultured bacterium
Lineage: Bacteria
Description: partial 16S ribosomal RNA
Rfam family: Bacterial small subunit ribosomal RNA
Source: RNAcentral